CCUACGGGGGGCUGCAGUGGGGAAUAUUGGGCAAUGGGCGCAAGCCUGACCCAGCAACGCCGCGUGAAGGAAGAAGGCUUUCGGGUUGUAAACUUCUUUUGUCAGGGACGAAGCAAGUGACGGUACCUGACGAAUAAGCCACGGCUAACUACGUGCCAGCAGCCGCGGUAAUACGUAGGUGGCAAGCGUUAUCCGGAUUUACUGGGUGUAAAGGGCGUGUAGGCGGGGAAGCAAGUCAGAUGUGAAAACCACGGGCUCAACCUGUGGCCUGCAUUUGAAACUGUUUUUCUUGAGUGCUGGAGAGGCAAUCGGAAUUCCGUGUGUAGCGGUGAAAUGCGUAGAUAUACGGAGGAACACCAGUGGCGAAGGCGGAUUGCUGGACAGUAACUGACGCUGAGGC
This 400-nucleotide ribosomal RNA is filed under the name uncultured bacterium. RNAcentral describes it as "bacterial SSU rRNA". It matches the Rfam family "Bacterial small subunit ribosomal RNA", at positions 338 to 752 of the family's 1533-position model. The record is from RNAcentral.